CAGCGAAACUGCGAAUGGCUCAUUAUAUAAGUUCACUCUGUUAUAUUUGAUAGUGCCUUACUACUUGGAUAACCGUGGUAAUUCUAGAGCUAAUACAUGCUAAAAACCCCGACUUCGGAAGGGGUGUAUUUAUUAGAUACAAAACCAAUGCCCUUCGGGGCUCUUUGGUGAUUCAUGAUAACUAUACGAAUCGCACGGCCUUGCGCCGGCGAUGGUUCAUUCAAAUUUCUUCCCUAUCAACUUUCGAUGUUUGGGUAUUGGCCAAACAUGGUUGCAACGGGUAACGGAGGGUUAGGGCUCGACCCCGGAGAAGGAGCCUGAGAAACGGCUACUACAUCCAAGGAAGGCAGCAGGCGCGCAAAUUACCCAAUCCCGACUCGGGGAGGUAGUGACAAUAAAUACUGAUACAGGGCCCUUUCGGGCCUUGUAAUUGGAAUGAGUACAAUUUAAAUCCCUUAACGAGGAACAAUUGGAGGGCAAGUCUGGUGCCAGCAGCCGCGGUAAUUCCAGCUCCAAUAGCGUAUAU
RNAcentral lists this ribosomal RNA (526 nucleotides) under uncultured eukaryote. RNAcentral describes it as "SSU rRNA". It matches the Rfam family "Eukaryotic small subunit ribosomal RNA", at positions 79 to 604 of the family's 1831-position model. The record is from RNAcentral.